This 233-nucleotide ribosomal RNA is filed under the name uncultured bacterium. Its description in RNAcentral is "partial 16S ribosomal RNA". It matches the Rfam family "Bacterial small subunit ribosomal RNA", at positions 118 to 334 of the family's 1533-position model. The record is from RNAcentral.
UAAACAACCUGCCUUCAGGAAGGGGACAACAGACGGAAACGACUGCUAAUACCGAAUAAGUUCCAAGAGCCGCAUGGCCCAUGGAAGAAAAGGUGGCCUCUACCUGUAAGCUAUCGCCUGAAGAGGGGUUUGCGUCUGAUUAGCUGGUUGGAGGGGUAACGGCCCACCAAGGCGACGAUCAGUAGCCGGUCUGAGAGGAUGAACGGCCACACUGGAACUGAGACACGGUCCAG